UNUGAAGUUAAAGGCUGUGGCUUAACCAUAGUACGCUUUGGAAACUGUUUAACUUGAGUGCAGAAGGGGAGAGUGGAAUUCCAUGUGUAGCGGUGAAAUGCGUAGAUAUAUGGAGGAACACCGGUGGCGAAAGCGGCUCUCUGGUCUGUAACUGACGCUGAGGCUCGAAAGCGUGGGGAGCGAACAGGAUUAGAUACCCUGGUAGUNCACGCCGUAAACGAUGAGUGCUAGGUGUUAGGCCCUUUCCGGGGCUUAGUGCCGCAGCUAACGCAUUAAGCACUCCGCCUGGGGAGUACGACCGCAAGGUUGAAACUCAAAGGAAUUGACGGGGGCCCGCACAAGCGGUGGAGCAUGUGGUUUAAUUCGAAGCAACGCGAAGAACCUUACCAGGUCUUGACAUCCCGAUGCCCGCUCUAGAGAUAGAGUUUUACUUCGGUACAUCGGUGACAGGUGGUGCAUGGUUGUCGUCAGCUCGUGUCGUGAGAUGUUGGGUUAAGUCCCGCAACGAGCGCAACCCUUAUUGUUAGUUGCCAUCAUUCAGUUGGGCACUCUAGCGAGACUGCCGGUAAUAAACCGGAGGAAGGUGGGGAUGACGUCAAAUCAUCAUGCCCCUUAUGACCUGGGCUACACACGUGCUACAAUGGCUGGUACAACGAGUCGCAAGUCGGUGACGGCAAGCUAAUCUCUUAAAGCCAGUCUCAGUUCGGAUUGUAGGCUGCAACUCGCCUACAUGAAGUCGGAAUCGCUAGUAAUCGCGGAUCAGCACGCCGCGGUGAAUACGUUCCCGGGCCUUGUACACACCGCCCGUCACACCACGAGAGUUUGUAACACACGAAGUCGGUGAGGUAACCUUUUAGGAGCCAGCCGCCUAAGG
Molecule: ribosomal RNA, 874 nt
Filed under: uncultured bacterium
Lineage: Bacteria
Description: bacterial SSU rRNA
Rfam family: Bacterial small subunit ribosomal RNA
Source: RNAcentral